RNAcentral lists this ribosomal RNA (245 nucleotides) under uncultured bacterium. RNAcentral's name for it is "partial small subunit ribosomal RNA". It matches the Rfam family "Bacterial small subunit ribosomal RNA", at positions 26 to 285 of the family's 1533-position model. The record is from RNAcentral.
AGAAUCAACGCUGGCGGCGUGCCUAACACAUGCAAGUCGAACGAGAAAGGGUAGCAAUACCUGAGUAAAGUGGCGCACGGGUGAGUAACACGUGACUAACCUACCUUUUAGUGGGGGAUAACCUAGGGAAACCUGGGCUAAUACCGCAUAAUACCUACGGGUCAAAGCAGCAAUGCGCUGAUAGAGGGGGUCGCGGCCGAUUAGCUAGUUGGCGGGGUAAUGGCCCACCAAGGCAGUGAUCGGUA